Portunus trituberculatus (swimming crab) is the source of this 912-nucleotide long non-coding RNA. RefSeq lists it as uncharacterized. Lineage: Eukaryota; Metazoa; Arthropoda; Malacostraca; Decapoda; Portunidae. The record is from RefSeq and is a predicted model, not a curated record. The transcript has 2 exons.
CCGUACUUAUAAAACUCCACAAAGAUGCCGUCUUAGUUAGGAAAAGUACUUAACCUACGAGACUUAAGCGCUAAGAAUCUUUCCUAGCAGGAUGCUUUGUUAAGUAACCGUCUUUAGGCGCUUACAUAGCUAACCGCUAACAUGAGCAGACGUUAUGUAAUGUUUUUUGAGGAAUUUCGCAAGAAACGGGUGAAAAUACGUAAAAAUUAUAUUAUAAAUAAAAAACAUAUUUAUCUAGUUAGUUUUCAAUAAUCACCUCUUCAUUUUAACCUUGAUAAUUGAAGGUAUAAAUUUACCACCACUGUUGUCAUCUUGUCAAAACAACAAUCAUUUGGCGCCAACUUCGACUGCACACCAUGGCUACUGAAGAGACUCAAGACAAGAAAAGGAACAGAAAGACGAACUGGACGCCUUCAUCUGGCCCACCUAUACAAAAUUCUCGCAAAAAUACUCCAGAGCGACUUCUCCACAGCUGGCUGCUCUAAGGAAGCCAGAAAUGCUGCUUGGAGGAGCAAUAGUGCGGAGGUGUCUGCCGUGUCAGACAUUCUCCGCACUAGGGAGUGCCAGAAACAUUGGCAUAUUAUAAAAUCUGAGGCAAGACGGAACACCCGCAAGCAGAGAGAAGCCAUGACUGCCACAGAUGGUGGACCUCCUGCCAACCCUCCUCUCUCCCAGCACAAUGAGUUAAUCUUUGAGAUUUUGGACCCUAAGAAUGUCUCUAUUCAUGGGUGUACCAAUAAGGCAAGCAUCAUUGAAUGCACCUUCCUUAACAAAGGAUAAGCCACUUGUAGAUAUAGCAAUAUUAGGCCAUAAUGUUGUCUCAAAUGUCUGCAAUCCAAAAUACUCGUUCCCAUUUAGUUUACAACUUAGAGUUAAACACAAUGGUAAAUUUGUUAUCUAGUGUUGAGAAAA